UACGGGGGGGGCAAGCGUUGUUCGGAAUUACUGGGCGUAAAGGGCUCGUAGGCGGCCAACUAAGUCAUACGUGAAAUCCCUCGGCUUAACCGGGGAACUGCGUCUGAUACUGGAUGGCUUGAGUUCGGGAGAGGGAUGCGGAAUUCCAGGUGUAGCGGUGAAAUGCGUAGAUAUCGGAAGGAACACCAGUGGCGAAAGCGGCUUCCUGGUCCGACACCGACGUUCAGGCACGAAAGCGUGGGGAGCAAACAGG
RNAcentral lists this ribosomal RNA (253 nucleotides) under uncultured bacterium. RNAcentral's name for it is "partial 16S ribosomal RNA". It matches the Rfam family "Bacterial small subunit ribosomal RNA", at positions 524 to 776 of the family's 1533-position model. The record is from RNAcentral.